GCAGUCGAGCGCCCCGCAAGGGGAGCGGCAGACGGGUGAGUAACGCGUGGGAAUCUACCCAUCUCUACGGAACAACUCCGGGAAACUGGAGCUAAUACCGUAUACGUCCUCCGGGAGAAAGAUUUAUCGGAGAUGGAUGAGCCCGCGUUGGAUUAGCUAGUUGGUGGGGUAAUGGCCUACCAAGGCGACGAUCCAUAGCUGGUCUGAGAGGAUGAUCAGCCACAUUGGGACUGAGACACGGCCCAAACUCCUACGGGAGGCAGCAGUGGGGAAUAUUGGACAAUGGGCGAAAGCCUGAUCCAGCCAUGCCGCGUGAGUGAUGAAGGCCCUAGGGUUGUAAAGCUCUUUCAACGGUGAAGAUAAUGACGGUAACCGUAGAAGAAGCCCCGGCUAACUUCGUGCCAGCAGCCGCGGUAAUACGAAGGGGGCUAGCGUUGUUCGGAAUUACUGGGCGUAAAGCGCACGUAGGCGGACUAUUAAGUCAGGGGUGAAAUCCCGGGGCUCAACCCCGGAACUGCCUUUGAUACUGGUGGUCUAGAGUCCGGAAGAGGUGAGUGGAAUUCCGAGUGUAGAGGUGAAAUUCGUAGAUAUUCGGAGGAACACCAGUGGCGAAGGCGGCUCACUGGUCCGGUACUGACGCUGAGGUGCGA
Molecule: ribosomal RNA, 650 nt
Filed under: Mesorhizobium amorphae
Lineage: Bacteria; Pseudomonadati; Pseudomonadota; Alphaproteobacteria; Hyphomicrobiales; Phyllobacteriaceae
Description: bacterial SSU rRNA
Rfam family: Bacterial small subunit ribosomal RNA
Source: RNAcentral